This 333-nucleotide unclassified non-coding RNA is filed under the name soil metagenome. RNAcentral describes it as "partial contains 5.8S ribosomal RNA, internal transcribed spacer 2, and large subunit ribosomal RNA". The stretch from base 1 to 120 matches the Rfam family "5.8S ribosomal RNA", at positions 35 to 154 of the family's 154-position model. The record is from RNAcentral.
GAUGAAGAACGCAGCGAAAUGCGAUAAGUAAUGUGAAUUGCAGAAUUCAGUGAAUCAUCGAAUCUUUGAACGCACAUUGCGCCCGCCAGUAUUCUGGCGGGCAUGCCUGUUCGAGCGUCAUUUCAACCAUCAAGCCCCGGGCUUGUGUUGGGGACCUGCGGCUGCCGCAGGCCCUGAAAUGCAGUGGCGGGCUCGCUGUCACUCCGAGCGUAGUAGUAAUAUCUCGUUUAGGAAGUGUAGCGGGUUCUGGCCGUUAAACCCCCAAUUUUUUAAGGUUGACCUCGGAUCAGGUAGGAAUACCCGCUGAACUUAAGCAUAUCAAUAAGCGGAGGA